RNAcentral lists this ribosomal RNA (244 nucleotides) under uncultured bacterium. RNAcentral's name for it is "partial 16S ribosomal RNA". It matches the Rfam family "Bacterial small subunit ribosomal RNA", at positions 89 to 334 of the family's 1533-position model. The record is from RNAcentral.
CGGCGACCGGCGCACGGGUGCGUAACGCGUAUGUAACCUACCUAUAACAGGGGCAUAACACUGAGAAAUUGGUACUAAUUCCCCAUAAUAUUCGGAGAGGCAUCUCUCCGGGUUGAAAACUCCGGUGGUUAUAGAUGGACAUGCGUUGUAUUAGCUAGUUGGUGAGGUAACGGCUCACCAAGGCAACGAUACAUAGGGGGACUGAGAGGUUAAUCCCCCACAUUGGUACUGAGACACGGACCAA